This 252-nucleotide ribosomal RNA is filed under the name uncultured bacterium. RNAcentral's name for it is "partial 16S ribosomal RNA". It matches the Rfam family "Bacterial small subunit ribosomal RNA", at positions 524 to 776 of the family's 1533-position model. The record is from RNAcentral.
UACGGAGGAUGCGAGCGUUAUCCGGAUUUAUUGGGUUUAAAGGGUGCGUAGGCGGACGCUUAAGUCAGCGGUAAAAUUGCUGGGCUCAACCUCGUCGAGCCGUUGAAACUGGGUGCCUUGAGUGGGCGAGAAGUACGCGGAAUGCGUGGUGUAGCGGUGAAAUGCAUAGAUAUCACGCAGAACUCCGAUUGCGAAGGCAGCGUACCGGCGCCCAACUGACGCUGAAGCACGAAGGCGUGGGUAUCGAACAGG